AAAUUCAUAAUUUAAAUUAAAAAUGUUAAAUUGCAAAUUUAUUAAUAUAAUAUUGAAUAUUAUUGAAUUUU
Molecule: transfer RNA, 71 nt
Filed under: Gasteruption parvicollarium
Lineage: Eukaryota; Metazoa; Arthropoda; Insecta; Hymenoptera; Gasteruptiidae
Description: tRNA-Cys
Source: RNAcentral